This 72-nucleotide transfer RNA is filed under the name Minisyncoccota bacterium. RNAcentral's name for it is "tRNA-Arg". It matches the Rfam family "tRNA". From Rfam's summary of the family: Transfer RNA (tRNA) molecules are approximately 80 nucleotides in length. Their secondary structure includes four short double-helical elements and three loops (D, anti-codon, and T loops). Further hydrogen bonds mediate the characteristic L-shaped molecular structure. tRNAs have two regions of fundamental functional importance: the anti-codon, which is responsible for specific mRNA codon recognition, and the 3' end, to which the tRNAs corresponding amino acid is attached (by aminoacyl-tRNA synthetases). tRNAs cope with the degeneracy of the genetic code in two manners: having more than one tRNA (with a specific anti-codon) for a particular amino acid; and 'wobble' base-pairing, i.e. permitting non-standard base-pairing at the 3rd anti-codon position. The record is from RNAcentral. Lineage: Bacteria; Bacillati; Minisyncoccota.
GCCCUCGUAGUUUAACGGAUAAAACAAGUCCCUCCUAAGGACUAGAUCUCGGUUCGAUUCCAGGCGAGGGCA